AACGAACGCUGGCGGCGUGCCUAACACAUGCAAGUCGAACGAGAAAGGGGCUUCGGCCCUGAGUAAAGUGGCGCACGGGUGAGUAACACGUAGGUAACCUGCCUCUAAGAUUGGGAUAACAUGUCGAAAGACGUGCUAAUACCGAAUAAGACCACAGUUUCCUCGGAAACAGGGGUCAAAGGUAGCCUCUAUUUAUAAGCUAUCACUUAGAGAUGGGCCUGCGUACCAUUAGCUAGUUGGUAGGGUAACGGCCUACCAAGGCAAAGAUGGUUAGCUGGUCUGAGAGGAUGAUCAGCCACACUGGAACUGAGACACGGUCCAGACUCCUACGGGAGGCAGCAGUGGGGAAUAUUGCGCAAUGGGCGAAAGCCUGACGCAGCAACGCCGCGUGAGUGAUGAAGGCCUUCGGGUCGUAAAGCUCUGUCGGAGGGAACGAAUGUUUCUGAGGUUAACAGCCUCAGGAAGUGACGGUACCCUCAAAGGAAGCACCGGCUAACUCUGUGC
This 504-nucleotide ribosomal RNA is filed under the name uncultured bacterium. RNAcentral describes it as "bacterial SSU rRNA". It matches the Rfam family "Bacterial small subunit ribosomal RNA", at positions 29 to 508 of the family's 1533-position model. The record is from RNAcentral.